ACUUUUUGGAAGAAAAGUGUUCUCAAAGUUUUCUUAUUAUAACUUGUACAGAAACCAGCUAUCUUUUUCCAGCACGGCGACUGUAACCCAGUCAAUUGAUCACAAUGAAGUUGCAACAUUCCUCUGGUUGUAAUGCAUAUAUGUUGGGUAGGCAUUUAAUAUCUAUGGUUCAUUUUAGGCCUAAUUGUGUGAAGUUAAGUUUUUUUUUGCUGUGUGUUUAUUUGAUAUCUGGAGGAAAUCCGAUUGGUUAAAACUUCUUCUGAUGAAGUUUGGAUUCCAUCAAUUACCAGUUAUAGCAUGAUAAAAAUUAGGUUCAAGAGACGCAUUUUGAAAGUUGUUUGGGUUCCCCCGGAGCAUGGAGAUGCAGUUGUUUGCAUUAGUGCUGAUGGAAUGUUGUCUAUGUGGGAAAAUGUCACAUAAGGUAUUUAAUCAAUUUGCCAUUUUGUCAGGGCCGGCCCUGAGAAUUUGGAGGCUCUAGGCAAUUAAUUUUUUUGGGGCCCCUAUAUAUAUACACACUUAAAUAUUUAACCAAAUAAUAUUUCUAUAUUAAAAUGAAGAUUUCAUGCAAUUAAAGAGAUAGAAUAGCAAAAUAAAUCCUCUCUCGCAACUUUAGAGAUUAGACUAGUAGAAUAUUUAAUAUUCUCACAUUUUGAGAUGCAAAAGGAAUUGGUACACACAUUUGAGUUAUCAAAUGUUCAUUGAGGAAUUAAAUAUAAGAAUGCAAACGUAAAAUUCACACAUUAAAUUAAAUAUUUCUUACCAACAUAGAGAUUAUAUAAUAAUUUUUAUCUCUUCUUAUUUUGUGUACUGUGAAGUAAUAUUAUAGAUGUAAUUUAGUGGCUGAAAGG
This 848-nucleotide long non-coding RNA is filed under the name Olea europaea subsp. europaea. Lineage: Eukaryota; Viridiplantae; Streptophyta; Magnoliopsida; Lamiales; Oleaceae. The record is from RNAcentral.